This 422-nucleotide ribosomal RNA is filed under the name uncultured bacterium. Its description in RNAcentral is "bacterial SSU rRNA". It matches the Rfam family "Bacterial small subunit ribosomal RNA", at positions 355 to 774 of the family's 1533-position model. The record is from RNAcentral.
UGAGGAAUAUUGGGCAAUGCCCGAAAGGGUGACCCAGCAAAGCCGCGUGGAGGAUGAAGGUCGUAAGAUUGUAAACUCCUGUUAGAGGGGAAGAAUAACUAAGUUUGGAGCUUAGUAUGACUGUACCCUCAGAGAAAGCCCCGGCUAACUACGUGCCAGCAGCCGCGGUAAUGCGUAGGGGGCAAGCGUUGUCCGGAUUUACUGGGUGUAAAGGGCGCGCAGGCGGAAUGGAAAGUCAGUGGUGAAAUCCUACAGCUUAACUGUAGAACUUCCUUUGAUACUUUCAUUCUUGAGUUCGGGAGAGAGAGACGGAAUUCCAGGUGUAGUGGUGAAAUACGUAGAUAUCUGGAAGAACACCAGUUGCGAAGGCGGUCUCUUGGUCCGAUACUGACGCUGAGGCGCGAAAGCGUGGGGAGCAAACA